Rosa chinensis is the source of this 2334-nucleotide long non-coding RNA. RefSeq lists it as uncharacterized. NCBI's taxonomy places the organism in Eukaryota, Viridiplantae, Streptophyta, Magnoliopsida, Rosales, Rosaceae. The transcript is spliced from 10 exons. The record is from RefSeq and is a predicted model, not a curated record.
GGAAACUGAAAACCCAGAAUAAUCUCAACCAUCUCACCUCGCAAAAUAGAAAACCCUAUUCCAGCCAAACGAUGUUGGACUCAAUCUCAAUCUGUAUCUUGGUCUUAGUCUGAGUUCGCAUCUAUCACUGCUAGGCGAUUGCAUUGGGUAGCAGCACAAGUGAUUCAGGCGGAGGCUGUUAUUUCUUUAAUCCAGAAUACGAAGAGGAAAGUUCAAGGGCAAGCCCACGGAUCACUGCGACUUCUCCACUCACGAAGAGAUGGGUAUUCAAUCUCUCUCUCAUUCUUUCACUUUUUCCUCUAUUUCUAUAUCUAUUUGCAAGGUCUCAGUUGCUUGGUGUUUUCUCCACUCACGAAGAGAUGAGUAUUCAAUAGAUGAAUUUGUAAAUGAUUUGCGUAUUCUAAUUUUGAAUUUGGGGUCUUCAUCUAAAAGCUCGUACUUCUUUCACUAAAAUUUUGUUCCUUUAAUGAAGUUUGGUCUAGUAAAGCAGUGAAGAUAAGUUAUAGGCUUCUAGUAGUGAUUUGGCUUGAAAUCUGGUAGUGAUUUGGCUUGAAAUCUGGUAGUGAUUUCGAUUCGUAGCAGUCAAUUUGAAGGUAUUGGAGUUCAAUUCGCAGCAGGCCAUUUGAAGGUUCCCCUUCUUGGUGGAGCAUUUUGCGCAUGUACUUGGCAUUUCUUUUAUAACACCGAGUCUCUUGAGAUUAUCCACAAUGAAAGGCUUAUUAGUCAGCCCAAAGUGAGAUCUGGUAUUGGUCAUAAUCAGCAUCCUCAUCAUAGUUCUUCUUCGAUCUUCUUCUAUUAGUACUAACAAGUCUAUUUGAUACUUAACGAAUUCAGUCUUGCCGGAGAGCUUCAAGAAACAAACAAGAAGGUGAGAUUAUUUGAUCUACCCUACAAUCUUUCCUCAUUUAUCUUUUUUCAAGUUAAAGAUAUAAGUGUCAACCUUGAGACCAACAAGCAAACUAUCCAUGGCAUUUCAUUGGGAGAGGAAAAUGUACACGUCUCUAUCAUUCGGACGUUGGUUCAUGAAGCUUUGCUACCAUUUCCCAUAAAAGAUGAGAUAGUGACGGUUAAGGAUGCCAUUGGGACUUGUGUUGCUUGGCCAAAGAACCUAGUCAUUACCCUUGCAGCAGAUGCCAAGAAAAAACUAAAGCGUAAAAAUCAGAAGAGGACAACAAUGGAUAUGUUUGAAGAUAAUUAAAGAUUUGCAAUACCUGCCACCAAAUCUCCUAGUGGCUGUAAGUGCCCUGUGCAUUUGGGCCAACCAUGAACUGCGAGAUGGGACCACCAUCCACACCUCUUUUGAUACUGAAAUUUUUGGUCAUCGAAGGAAAGCUGCUGUCUUUAGAAGUGACAUCUAUGCCAUGCCAAACAUGUUGGAACUAUCAGGAGGUUGCAUUAUUUUUUUCAUGAGGUGCACUUGGCUGUGGAAAUCCUAUUGAACGAGCUCGGUCUUUGUCUAAUCGGUUCCAAAAUGGAAAGCCUGGCCAGAUUUAUUUGGUGUCGUAUAACUCAAGUUCUCAUUGGAUGUUGUCUGUUGUGAAUCCCGAUGAAGAGAUCAUUUACUUCAUGGAUCCGUUAAAGAGGCGCCUCAUAACUGGUGAAAGAAAAACAAUUUUGGAUAACUCCAUUAAAAUCUGUAAUGCGAACAAGAAUAGGAAAGGGAGGAAAUUAAUCUAGUGGAAAAAUCUUGCUGUAAGUUGAUAGAGGGAUUUGAAGUAUCCCAGCCUCUUAAUGUUUUACAUAGUAAGUAGUUCUUUUGAUAUGAUGCCUUAUGUUAUCUUCAAGGCAUUCCUGAGCAAAAUGGUAGCAAGAGUUAUGGUUAUUGGAUCAUGCGUUACAUGAAGGAGAUAGUGGAAGACACGAAUUUGGAGUUUGCUACUAAGUGGGAUAGAAGAACAAAUCUUGUUUACACAGAAAAUGAUAUUGAUGAAGUUCGGGCUAAAAUAAGAAGAAGAAGAUUGGGUGUCCUAAGGGAAGUAAAAAUAAGGUUAAAGCUAAAGAGAAACAGGAGGAGAAGAAGAUCCGCAAGUAUAAGAGGCGGGGAAAGGCUUUGAGUUUUGAUUCAAAUGUGGAAGCAUCAGCUGAUGAGGAUGUUAAUGUGCAAGGAACAAUGCAAGUAGGGGAGGGUGAGUCUAUUCCACUUGUGGAAUCUCCGGUUGUAGAGGGAAAGGUAGAAGGUGAGGAAUCACUUUCUACAAGUAGUUUAUUUUGAUUUUGUUUUUUGGGUCUCAAAAAACCAGUGCCUUAGUUGUUACAUUUUAUGCCUGCUUCAAUGUUUCUGGUAUUUGUUAGAAUAAUGGUACGUGGAUUUCCUAAAAGGUGGGUGUACUCGAG